This 253-nucleotide ribosomal RNA is filed under the name uncultured bacterium. RNAcentral describes it as "partial 16S ribosomal RNA". It matches the Rfam family "Bacterial small subunit ribosomal RNA", at positions 524 to 776 of the family's 1533-position model. The record is from RNAcentral.
UACAGAGGGGGCAAGCGUUGUUCGGAAUUACUGGGCGUAAAGGGCGCGUAGGCGGCCGCCUAAGUCAGACGUGAAAUCCCUCGGCUCAACCGUGGAAGUGCACUCGAAACUGCGCAGCUAGAGUCUCGGAGAGGAAGGCGGAAUGCUUGGUGUAGAGGUGAAAUUCGUAGAUAUCAAGCGGAACACCGGUGGCGAAGGCGGCCUUCUGGACGAUGACUGACGCUGAAGCGCGAAAGCGUGGGGAGCAAACAGG